This 74-nucleotide transfer RNA is filed under the name Myotis davidii. It matches the Rfam family "tRNA". Rfam says of the family: Transfer RNA (tRNA) molecules are approximately 80 nucleotides in length. Their secondary structure includes four short double-helical elements and three loops (D, anti-codon, and T loops). Further hydrogen bonds mediate the characteristic L-shaped molecular structure. tRNAs have two regions of fundamental functional importance: the anti-codon, which is responsible for specific mRNA codon recognition, and the 3' end, to which the tRNAs corresponding amino acid is attached (by aminoacyl-tRNA synthetases). tRNAs cope with the degeneracy of the genetic code in two manners: having more than one tRNA (with a specific anti-codon) for a particular amino acid; and 'wobble' base-pairing, i.e. permitting non-standard base-pairing at the 3rd anti-codon position. The record is from Rfam by way of RNAcentral. Lineage: Eukaryota; Metazoa; Chordata; Mammalia; Chiroptera; Vespertilionidae.
GCCAGUUUGGCUCAGUGGAUAAAUCCAUCAGCUUGUGGACUGAAAUGUUGCUGGUUCGAUUCCAGUAAAAGGCA